This 442-nucleotide ribosomal RNA is filed under the name Bondarzewia dickinsii. RNAcentral's name for it is "SSU rRNA". It matches the Rfam family "Bacterial small subunit ribosomal RNA", at positions 504 to 931 of the family's 1533-position model. The record is from RNAcentral. Lineage: Eukaryota; Fungi; Basidiomycota; Agaricomycetes; Russulales; Bondarzewiaceae.
GGUGCCAGAAGACUCGGUAAGGCCAGAGACGCAAACGUUAGUCGUCCUAAUCAGGCGUAAAGGGUUUGUAGGCAGCUUUGAAAUUUUUCUUUUUUAUAUAGCACUAACUUAAAAUACAAACUAUUAUAGUUAAUUAAAGGAGUUAAACAAUUAAAGCUAGAAUCAAAUAGAGGUUAUAUUAAAUAAUACUUAGUGUAGGGCCGAUAUCCUUAGAUACUAAGGGGAAUAUUAAGGGCGAAAGCUUUUUUCCACUAAUGAUUGACGCUGAGAAACGAAGGUGAGGAUAGGAAAUAGGAUUAGAUAUACAAGUCAAGCAUAUCAGUCAAUGAUGAAUGGUGGCUACUAGUGAAUCAUUGGUGGCGAUGUUAACACGAUAACCAUUCCGCCUUGUGAGUACGACUGCAAAGUGAAAACAAAAAAAUUAGUCCGUCUCCAGCAAUCA